Heteronotia binoei (common prickly gecko) is the source of this 140-nucleotide long non-coding RNA. RefSeq lists it as uncharacterized. The record is from RefSeq and is a predicted model, not a curated record. Lineage: Eukaryota; Metazoa; Chordata; Lepidosauria; Squamata; Gekkonidae. The transcript is spliced from 3 exons.
GCCUGGGCGGGGGUCCAGCAGCAGGAGGCCCCCGAGCACGGCCACGCGGCCAGAGGGCAGAGUGCCCCCCACCUGUCCCAAAUCCCGACUAUGAGCCCAUCCGGAAAGGCCAGCGGGAGGUGUAUGCCGGACUGGAGCCC